GACGAACGCUGGCGGCGUGCUUAACACAUGCAAGUCGAACGGAAAGGCCCUGCUUUUGUGGGGUGCUCGAGUGGCGAACGGGUGAGUAACACGUGAGUAACCUGCCCUUGACUUUGGGAUAACUUUAGGAAACUGGAGCUAAUACCGCAUAGGAGCUCCUGCUGCAUGGUGGGGGUUGGAAAGUUUCGGCGGUUGGGGAGGGACUCGCGGCUUAUCAGCUUGUUGGUGGGGUAGUGGCGUACCAAGGCUUUGGCGGGUAGCCGGCCUGGGAGGGGGACCGGGCCCAAUGGGACUGAGGAAGGGGCCAGAAGGCAACGGGAGGCAGGGGUGGGAAAUAUUGCGGAACAGGCCGGAGCCUGGAACAACGACGUCGGGUGCGGGAAGACGGGCUUCGGGGUAGAAACCGCGUUCGGCUGGGAAGAAGCGUGAGUGACGGUAACUGAUCAAAAAGCAACGGCUAACUACGUG
Molecule: ribosomal RNA, 468 nt
Filed under: uncultured bacterium
Lineage: Bacteria
Description: partial 16S ribosomal RNA
Rfam family: Bacterial small subunit ribosomal RNA
Source: RNAcentral